UUCCGGUUGAUCCUGCCGGACCUGACUGCUAUCGGAUUGAUACUAAGCCAUGCGAGUCAUUGUAGCAAUACAAGGCAUACGGCUCAGUAACGCGUAGUCAACCUACCCUAUGGACGGAAAUAACCUCGGGAAACUGAGAAUAAUAUCCGAUAGAACAUUAUGCCUGGAAUGGUUUAUGUUCCAAAUGAUUUAUCGCCGUAGGAUGGGACUGCGGCCUAUCAGUUUGUUGGUGAGGUAAUGGCCCACCAAGACUAUUACAGGUACGGGCUCUGAGAGGAGUAGCCCGGAGAUGGGUACUGAGACACGGACCCAGGCCCUAUGGGGCGCAGCAGGCGAGAAAACUUUGCAAUGUGCGAAAGCACGACAAGGUUAAUCCGAGUGAUUUCUGCUAAAGAAAUCUUUUGUUAGUCCUAGAAACACUAACGAAUAAGGGGUGGGCAAGUUCUGGUGUCAGCCGCCGCGGUAAAACCAGCACCUCAAGUGGUCAGGAUGAUUAUUGGGCCUAAAGCAUCCGUAGCCGGCUCUGUAAGUCCUCGGUUAAAUCUGUACGCUUAACGUACAGGCUGCCGGGAAUACUGCAUAGCUAGGGAGUGGGAGAGGUAGACGGUACUCGGUAGGAAGGGGUAAAAUCCUUUGAUCUAUUGAUGACCACCUGUGGCGAAGGCGGUCUACCAGAACACGUCCGACGGUGAGGGAUGAAAGCUGGGGGAGCAAACCGGAUUAGAUACCCGGGUAGUCCCAGCUGUAAACUAUGCAAACUCAGUGAUGCAUUGGCUUGUGGCCAAUGCAGUGCUGCAGGGGAGCCGUUAAGUUUGCCGCCUGGGAAGUACGUACGCAAGUAUGAAACUUAAAGGAAUUGGCGGGGGAGCACCACAA
Molecule: ribosomal RNA, 876 nt
Filed under: uncultured Nitrososphaerota archaeon
Lineage: Archaea; Thermoproteati; Nitrososphaerota
Description: bacterial SSU rRNA
Rfam family: Archaeal small subunit ribosomal RNA
Source: RNAcentral